Molecule: ribosomal RNA, 198 nt
Filed under: uncultured bacterium
Lineage: Bacteria
Description: partial 16S ribosomal RNA
Rfam family: Bacterial small subunit ribosomal RNA
Source: RNAcentral
ACGCUCGACACCUACGGGAGACAGCAGUGGGGAAUAUUGCACAAUGGGGGAAACCCUGAUGCAGCGACGCCGCGUGAGCGAAGAAGUAUUUCGGUAUGUAAAGCUCUAUCAGCAGGGAAGAAACUGACGGUACCUGACCAAGAAGCACCGGCUAAAUACGUGCCAGCAGCCGCGGUAAUCUGAGCGGGCUGGCAAGGC